AGCGAUCGUUGGCGGCAGGCCUAACACAUGCAAGUCGAGCGAGGCGAAAAGCCGAGCGGCGAACGGGUGCGUAAUACAUGGGAAUCUACCUCGGAGUGGGGAUAACAUUCAGAAAUGAGUGGUAAUACCGCAUAAUCCAUAUUGGGAAAGUUUUAACGCUCUGAGAGGAGCCCAUGGCUGAUUAGCUAGUUGGUGGGGUAAAAGCCUACCAAGGCGACGAUCAGUAGCUGGUUUGGGAGGAUGAUCAGCCACACUGGGACUGAGACACGGCCCAGACUCCUACGGGAGGCAGCAGUGGGGAAUAUUGGACAAUGGGGGCAACCCUGAUCCAGCCAUGCCGCGUGCGUGAUGAAGGCCUUCGGGUUGUAAAACGCUUUUGGCGGGGACGAUAAUGACGGUACCCGCAGAAUAAGUCACGGCUAACUUCGUGCCAGCCGCCGCGGUAA
This 446-nucleotide ribosomal RNA is filed under the name uncultured bacterium. RNAcentral describes it as "partial 16S ribosomal RNA". It matches the Rfam family "Bacterial small subunit ribosomal RNA", at positions 29 to 523 of the family's 1533-position model. The record is from RNAcentral.